AGGACAAACGCUGGCGGCGUGCGUAACACAUGCAAGUCGAACGGGGUCAGCGGGACUUUCGGGUUCUGCUGGUCUAGUGGCGGACGGGUGAGUAACACGUGGAUAACCUACCCUGGUGUGGGGGGAUACCCUGUAGAAAAUAUAGGCUAAUACCGCAUGAGGUGGAGCUUGGGGGACUAAGCUUCAAGAAAGUCGUAAGACGCAGCAGGUGGGGUCCGCGGCCGAUUAGCUAGUUGGCGGGUAAAGGCCCACCAAGGCGACGAUCGUUAGCUGGUCUGAGAGGAUGAUCAGCCACACUGGGACUGAGACACGGCCCAGACUCCUACGGGAGGCAGCAGUGGGGAAUAUUGGACAAUGGGCGCAAGCCUGAUCCAGCAAUGCCGCGUGAGUGAAGAAGGUCUUCGGAUUGUAAAGCUCUUUCGACGGGGACGAUGAUGACGGUACCCGUAGAAGAAGCCCCGGCUAACUUCGUGCCAGCAGCCGC
Molecule: ribosomal RNA, 484 nt
Filed under: uncultured bacterium
Lineage: Bacteria
Description: SSU rRNA
Rfam family: Bacterial small subunit ribosomal RNA
Source: RNAcentral